RNAcentral lists this ribosomal RNA (503 nucleotides) under uncultured Sebacina. Its description in RNAcentral is "eukaryotic LSU rRNA". The stretch from base 145 to 298 matches the Rfam family "5.8S ribosomal RNA". Lineage: Eukaryota; Fungi; Basidiomycota; Agaricomycetes; Sebacinales; Sebacinaceae. The record is from RNAcentral.
GUGCUGGCUCCGGCAAGUGCACGUUGGUGACUUUCAUCCAACACUCUUGUGAACCUUUGGCCUCUUGCUGGCCUCGGCUGGCAGAGGAUUUUUACACCCACUCGCAUGUAAUGAAAUUAUUGUCGUGCGCAAGCACUAAUGUACAACUUUCAACAACGGAUCUCUUGGCUCUCGCAUCGAUGAAGAACGCAGCGAAAUGCGAUAAGUAAUGUGAAUUGCAGAAUUCAGUGAAUCAUCGAAUCUUUGAACGCACCUUGCACCCUUUGGCAUUCCGAAGGGUAUGCUCGUUUGAGUGUCAUUGUACUCUCACACUUCUCAUCCUUUGGAUUUGGAGCGGUGGACUUGGGUGUUGCCGCUUUACGGUGGCUCACCUCUAAUGCAUUAGUGCAACUCUUGGUUGGACAUAGUACGGCGUGAUAAGCUGACCGAGAGCUCUGUGCUUUCAAACCGUCCUUGGACAAUGACUGACAACUUGUCUUCGCCGGCACCUCGCAAGAGGGUGG